GGAUUAGGCAUGCAAGUCGAACGAGGACAUAUCCUUCGGGAUAUAGGCCGAGUGGCGAAAGGGUGAGUAAUGCAUAGACAACCUGCCUUUAGGAUAAGAAUAACUCUGUGAAAGCGGGGCUAAUACUUAAUAAUACAAAAGAAAAUAAUUUUCUUUNGUCAAAGGGAGGGUAGCAAUACCUUUCGCCUAGAGAGGGGUUUAUGUCCUAUCAGCUUGUUGGUGGGGUAAUAGCCUACCAAGGCAAAGACGGGUAGCCGGUUUAAGAGGAUGGUCGGCCACACUGGGACUGAGACACUGCCCAGACUUCUACGGAAGGCUGCAGUCGAGAAUCUUUCGCAAUGCCCGAAAGG
Molecule: ribosomal RNA, 350 nt
Filed under: uncultured Planctomycetota bacterium
Lineage: Bacteria; Pseudomonadati; Planctomycetota
Description: bacterial SSU rRNA
Rfam family: Bacterial small subunit ribosomal RNA
Source: RNAcentral